Molecule: ribosomal RNA, 615 nt
Filed under: Klebsiella sp.
Lineage: Bacteria; Pseudomonadati; Pseudomonadota; Gammaproteobacteria; Enterobacterales; Enterobacteriaceae
Description: bacterial SSU rRNA
Rfam family: Bacterial small subunit ribosomal RNA
Source: RNAcentral
AUGGAGGGGGAUAACUACUGGAAACGGUAGCUAAUACCGCAUAACGUCGCAAGACCAAAGUGGGGGACCUUCGGGCCUCAUGCCAUCAGAUGUGCCCAGAUGGGAUUAGCUAGUAGGUGGGGUAAUGGCUCACCUAGGCGACGAUCCCUAGCUGGUCUGAGAGGAUGACCAGCCACACUGGAACUGAGACACGGUCCAGACUCCUACGGGAGGCAGCAGUGGGGAAUAUUGCACAAUGGGCGCAAGCCUGAUGCAGCCAUGCCGCGUGUAUGAAGAAGGCCUUCGGGUUGUAAAGUACUUUCAGCGAGGAGGAAGGCGUUAAGGUUAAUAACCUUAGCGAUUGACGUUACUCGCAGAAGAAGCACCGGCUAACUCCGUGCCAGCAGCCGCGGUAAUACGGAGGGUGCAAGCGUUAAUCGGAAUUACUGGGCGUAAAGCGCACGCAGGCGGUCUGUCAAGUCGGAUGUGAAAUCCCCGGGCUCAACCUGGGAACUGCAUUCGAAACUGGCAGGCUAGAGUCUUGUAGAGGGGGGUAGAAUUCCAGGUGUAGCGGUGAAAUGCGUAGAGAUCUGGAGGAAUACCGGUGGCGAAGGCGGCCCCCUGGACAAAGACUGA